UACGUAGGGGGCAAGCGUUGUCCGGAAUCAUUGGGCGUAAAGCGCGUGUAGGCGGCUCGGUAAGUCCGCUCUGAAAGCCCGGGGCUCAACCCCGGGAGGCGGGUGGAUACUGCUGAGCUCGAGUCCGGAAGAGGAGUGUGGAAUUCCUGGUGUAGCGGUGAAAUGCGUAGAGAUCGGGAGGAACACCAGAGGCGAAGGCGGCGACCUGGACAGGUACUGACACUCAACUACGAAAGCGUGGGGAGCAAACAGG
Molecule: ribosomal RNA, 253 nt
Filed under: uncultured bacterium
Lineage: Bacteria
Description: partial 16S ribosomal RNA
Rfam family: Bacterial small subunit ribosomal RNA
Source: RNAcentral